This is a long non-coding RNA of Oncorhynchus keta (chum salmon), 406 nucleotides long. RefSeq lists it as uncharacterized. The transcript has 3 exons. The record is from RefSeq and is a predicted model, not a curated record. NCBI's taxonomy places the organism in Eukaryota, Metazoa, Chordata, Actinopteri, Salmoniformes, Salmonidae.
CUGGGUUUGGGUAAAGGUACCGGUACAUACCUGGGUUUGGGUAAAGGUACAGGUACAUACCUGGGUUUGGGUAAAGGUACAGGUACAUACCUGGGUUUGGGUAAAGGUACAGGUACAUACCUGGGUUUGGGUAAAGGUACAGGUACAUACCUGGGUUUGGGUAAAGGUACAGGUACAUACCUGGGUUUGGGUAAAGGUACAGGUACAUACCUGGGUUUGGGUAAAGGUACAGGUACAUACCUGGGUUUGGGUAAAGGUACAGGUACAUACCUGGGUUUGGGUAAAGGUACAGGUACAUACCUGGGUUUGGGUAAAGGUACAGGUACAUUCCUGGGUUUGGGUAAAGGUACCGGUACAUACCUGGGUUCGGUAAAAGGUACAGGUACAUACCUGGGUUAGGGAAAGG